UGACAGUUCCCACAUGCGAUGGG
RNAcentral lists this non-coding RNA (23 nucleotides) under Mus musculus (house mouse). Lineage: Eukaryota; Metazoa; Chordata; Mammalia; Rodentia; Muridae. The record is from RNAcentral.